This 493-nucleotide ribosomal RNA is filed under the name uncultured bacterium. RNAcentral describes it as "bacterial SSU rRNA". It matches the Rfam family "Bacterial small subunit ribosomal RNA", at positions 28 to 518 of the family's 1533-position model. The record is from RNAcentral.
GAUGAACGCUAGCGGCAGGCUUAAUACAUGCAAGUCGAGGGGCAGCACGGUUAGCAAUAACUGGUGGCGACCGGCGCACGGGUGCGUAACACGUAUACAAUCUACCUUAAACAGGGGAUAGCCUUUCGAAAGAGAGAUUAAUACCCCGUAAUAAAUUGAACGGCAUCGUUUGAUUUUGAAAGCUCCGGCGGUUUGAGAUGAGUAUGCGUCUGAUUAGCUAGUUGGUGAGGUAACGGCUCACCAAGGCGACGAUCAGUAGGGGAUCUGAGAGGACUAACCCCCACACUGGUACUGAGACACGGACCAGACUCCUACGGGAGGCAGCAGUAAGGAAUAUUGGUCAAUGGAGGCAACUCUGAACCAGCCAUGCCGCGUGCAGGAUGACGGCCCUAUGGGUUGUAAACUGCUUUUAUACAAGAGAAAACCCUGGUACGUGUACCAGGUUGAUAGUAUUGUAAGAAUAAGCAUCGGCUAACUUCGUGCCAGCAGCCGC